UACGGAGGGGGCUAGCGUUGUUCGGAAUUACUGGGCGUAAAGCGCACGUAGGCGGCUUUGCAAGUUAGAGGUGAAAGCCCGGGGCUCAACCCCGGAAUUGCCUUUAAAACUGCAUCGCUAGAAUUGUGGAGAGGUAAGUGGAAUUCCGAGUGUAGAGGUGAAAUUCGUAGAUAUUCGGAAGAACACCAGUGGCGAAGGCGACUCACUGGACACGUAUUGACGCUGAGGUGCGAAAGCGUGGGGAGCAAACAGG
This 253-nucleotide ribosomal RNA is filed under the name uncultured bacterium. RNAcentral describes it as "partial 16S ribosomal RNA". It matches the Rfam family "Bacterial small subunit ribosomal RNA", at positions 524 to 776 of the family's 1533-position model. The record is from RNAcentral.